Molecule: small RNA, 76 nt
Filed under: Xanthomonas dyei pv. eucalypti
Lineage: Bacteria; Pseudomonadati; Pseudomonadota; Gammaproteobacteria; Lysobacterales; Lysobacteraceae
Also listed under: 2 other names
Description: sX9 sRNA
Rfam family: Xanthomonas sRNA sX9
Source: RNAcentral
CUUUACCCUUCGUACACACCGGUUCCUCCGCGCCGCCCGCGCCCACCUGGCGACUGCUCGCUACGUUUUGUUCGCC